Non-coding RNA from Gossypium raimondii (Peruvian cotton), 143 nucleotides. NCBI's taxonomy places the organism in Eukaryota, Viridiplantae, Streptophyta, Magnoliopsida, Malvales, Malvaceae. The record is from Rfam.
UAUUAAAAAUUUCAUUUACUCGUAUUGUUAAAAUCUGGCGUGCUUGAUGGAAUAACCACAUUGUGAUAUGUGGUGUGCCACAUAUACGUUAUGUUGAUGCACAUAGAUCAUUUUUUAACAGUAAAAAUGAUGAAAUUUUAACA